RNAcentral lists this ribosomal RNA (466 nucleotides) under Chryseobacterium sp. CT8. RNAcentral describes it as "bacterial SSU rRNA". It matches the Rfam family "Bacterial small subunit ribosomal RNA", at positions 977 to 1533 of the family's 1533-position model. The record is from RNAcentral. Lineage: Bacteria; Pseudomonadati; Bacteroidota; Flavobacteriia; Flavobacteriales; Weeksellaceae.
UGGGGAKUCCGGAUUCAAGGUUUAGAAAUAGACUUUUCUUCGGACAAUUUCAAGGUGCUGCAUGGUUGUCGUCACGCUCGUGCCGUGAGGUGUUAGGUUAAGUCCUGCAACGAGCGCAACCCCUGUCACUAGUUGCUAGCAUUAAGUUGAGGACUCUAGUGAGACUGCCUACGCAAGUAGAGAGGAAGGUGGGGAUGACGUCAAAUCAUCACGGCCCUUACGCCUUGGGCCACACACGUAAUACAAUGGCCAGUACAGAGGGCUGCUACCAGGUGACUGGAUGCUAAUCUCGAAAGCUGGUCUCAGUUCGGAUUGGAGUCUGCAACUCGACUCUAUGAAGCUGGAAUCGCUAGUAAUCGCGCAUCAGCCAUGGCGCGGUGAAUACGUUCCCGGGUCUUGGACACACCAGAAUUAUCUAUUAAUUGGGUGGUUUAUUUCGACGAGAUUGACAUCGCAACUGUGACUG